Molecule: ribosomal RNA, 253 nt
Filed under: uncultured bacterium
Lineage: Bacteria
Description: partial 16S ribosomal RNA
Rfam family: Bacterial small subunit ribosomal RNA
Source: RNAcentral
AACGUAGGAGACAAACGUUAUCCGGAGUUACUGGGCGUAAAGGGCGUGUAGGCGGUUAGUUAAGUCUGGCGUGAAAGCUCUCGGCUAAACCGGGAGAGGUCGUCGGAUACUGGCAAACUAGAGGACGGUAGAGGCGUGUGGAAUUCCCGGUGUAGCGGUGAAAUGCGCAGAUAUCGGGAGGAACACCAAUUGCGAAGGCAGCUCGCUGGGACGUCACUGACGCUGAGACGCGAAAGCGUGGGGAGCAAACAGG